UAGGGAAUCUUCCACAAUGGACGCAAGUCUGAUGGAGCAACGCCGCGUGAGUGAAGAAGGUUUUCGGACCGUAAAGCUCUGUUGUUGGUGAAGAAGGAUAGAGGUAGUAACUGGCCUUUAUUUGACGGUAAUCAACCAGAAAGUCACGGCUAACUACGUGCCAGCAGCCGCGGUAAUCGUAGGUGGCAAGCGUUGUCCGGAUUUAUUGGGCGUAAAGCGAGCGCAGGCGGAAGAAUAAGUCUGAUGUGAAAGCCCUCGGCUUAACCGAGGAAUUGCAUCGGAAACUGUUUUCUGAGUGCAGAAGAGAGAGUAGAACUCCAUGUGUAGCGGUGGAAUGCGUAGAUAUAUGGAAGAAUACCAGUGGCGAAGGCGGCUCUCUGGUCUGCAACUGACGCUGAGGCUCGAAAGCAUGGGUAGCGAACAGGAUUAGAUACCCUGGUAGUCCAUGCCGUAAACGAUGAGUGCUAAGUGUUGGGAGGCUUCCGCCUCUCAGUGCUGCAGCUAACGCAUUAAGCACUCCGCCUGGGGGAGUACGACCGCAAGGUUGAAAC
RNAcentral lists this ribosomal RNA (551 nucleotides) under uncultured bacterium. RNAcentral describes it as "partial 16S ribosomal RNA". It matches the Rfam family "Bacterial small subunit ribosomal RNA", at positions 355 to 900 of the family's 1533-position model. The record is from RNAcentral.